AUAGAGUAAUAACCUUUUCUAUUGCCAAUUGCCCUUGGUGAAGCCUUCGGCUUACUUCGAAACGUACGCGAAACAGUAUCACUACCGCCCAAGUAAUGUCAUGUGUCCCAUAGUUCUAUAACUGGUAUGCAGUCCAGUUCUGUGAUGUGGUGUAGCGGCCGGUAUUCAGCAGGCGCACCUUUUUAACCGUUAGUGGCGGUAGAGGCUUGAUCUCCUGUACGAAAAGCAUUGCCGGAGGGGCGAGGAAAUCGUUGAACGAAUAUUGAGGAAAAAAACUUGCACUUGAGACCGCGGAAUUUACUACAAUUAUGAUACGACACAUCUGAAAUGGGAUUGCACCGACUUUGCAGAAGAAGUAAGUCAGGGCUGCAGGGGCAAUAGAAGAAUCGUCGUGUCGUUAAAAACGUAAACGGCUGACAUUAGUGCUAUGCGUCUUUUCUGACAGAGCAGCGAUGCAUCGCACUCGUUUGCGUGUAGUUGCCGCAGCCUCGUCUGCGCCUAACCUUAACAUGCAUGAUAUUUCUCCGUGCAACAAUAGCCAGUAAGUGCAUGUAUCAUCAAGCUCAAGGAGGCGUUAUACUCGCAGUGAUACGAUAGGACCCUGCCACAAAGCAACCAAUUGUUCGUAUCAAAGAGCAUCUUCCUGCACGUGCCCGCCUCGUGGUGCCACCAAAGUUACAAGAGCAAAAGGCUUCUGUGGAAGAGUGUAGAGUGUAUAGCCGUGCUGAAAAAACCAUUUCAACAUAUAACGAAACAGAAUACGCAAAGAUAGAAGAAGAAGUUAUCUGACAGCUGCGGAAAGGAAAAGAUUAGCCCAAGGGCUUGCGAGCUAGUCACUCUUCUUAAUGCUUAAUCUGUCGGUCGGCAAGUUACCGAGACAGAUUUCAUCACGUAGAUAUUAACUGCCAUGGCGGAAUUCAUCUGCGGGCACGGAGAGCAAAUGUACGCAUACGUGCGUACGCACAUAGGACUAUAACAGUGGGUACACGGGCAGAAAUCCUAGCAACGCUAGAAGCAAGCUGACCAACUACGACAUCACUAUGUAAAAGAAGUAACAACGAGGUCGUCGUUGUACCGGUGGCAAAAGAACGAUACAAAAUAGUGUACGUUACAAUUACGAAGACUGUAACAACCAGAAUCUAGAAGAAGGACCUUUUUGAUAGUUUGUCCCGUAUCGUCAUACCUUGAUAUCGUAUGUACAGCCGCACUCGUAGUAUGGUCAUCUGGCAACGAUUUUUUCCUGAAGUGGUCAAUAUCAUCGUCAAGGAAAGAAUAAUCCGUGUGCAAACUUGUGCCUGCAUGAAAAUGAAUGCCGGAGAGGAAAUGGCGAAGCCCAAAACGACCGUUAAACGACGACUACCUGUUGCGUUGGGUAAUUGAUGUGGGCGUUUAAGCGGGAUCUGAAGACACAAUGAUGAGACGGGAAGUGAAGAUCUAAGACACAAUGGUCGCAGUGGGGCGACAGUCUCGUGAUCAAAAUGAGUAGUUCUAACGAAAUGGAUACCUAUUGGCUUGUUAUCUGAUAGCGAUUUAACAUCGAUAAAUGUCGAACGUAUUUCAAAUCUAUUCAUGCCAGCUAUUAGGGAACGCGACACCAUUAGAGGCCCUAUGCGUACCAUCGAUAGCACAGUAAAUUCAAGGAAGGCCUGUUAAAUGCGCGAGGGGCUUCGGUGUACGUUUCUUCGACUUCACGGAGAACGAAACAGUGUGAGAGUGGACCCUUUUGUUGCAGGGAAAACAAGAAGCUUAGAUUGGCCGCGGCAUCUUUGUUAGGACCGACAGAAGCAGAGGAAGUACAGCCAAUCGUCGACGAAUAGAAUAGAACACAGGGUCGUUUGUCAUCCGAGAUAGAUACAGGCGCGCAUAGCAAAGACCACUCGAGAGGGACCGUUCAUUCUACUUUAUUCAACACAUGAGGAGAUUUAAAAAUGGCGACUAUUAAGAGCAACAACUACGAUAGUAAAGACAGGAAACUGCGACGGUGAAAGGGAUUCCGGCCGUUCCGAUGCAGACGAAGAGAACAGUACACACAGGCCGGUCUCAA
Molecule: long non-coding RNA, 2044 nt
Filed under: Varroa destructor (honeybee mite)
Lineage: Eukaryota; Metazoa; Arthropoda; Arachnida; Mesostigmata; Varroidae
Description: uncharacterized LOC111250362
Source: RNAcentral